Molecule: ribosomal RNA, 812 nt
Filed under: Stichodactyla mertensii (Merten's carpet sea anemone)
Lineage: Eukaryota; Metazoa; Cnidaria; Anthozoa; Actiniaria; Stichodactylidae
Description: partial 12S small subunit ribosomal RNA
Rfam family: Bacterial small subunit ribosomal RNA
Source: RNAcentral
UAGAGAAUCUUGUGCAAUAAACGAAAGUAUGACACAGAGAGGACACAUUUAAUUGAGCCCGUCAAAUUAAGUGCCAGCCGACGCGGUUAAACUUAAGGGCUGGUCUUUAUAAGUAAAAAGGCGUAAAGGAUGUGUAGGCCAAGAAACAAUCAAAGUAGGUAAAUGGAAUUUUUCUGGAGCGGUAGAAUGUGAGGAUAGAAAAUAGAACCCCUAAGGUAAAAACUAUUUACCACAAGGUAGGCUGAAACAUGAGAGUGUGGGGAGCAAACAGGAUUAGAGACCCUGGUAGUCCACACUGUAAACUUUGAAGAUGAUGCUUAGCAGACCCGAAAGGUAAAAUCUUCCGCCUGAGUAGUACGAUCGCAAGAUUAAAAUUCAAAAACUUUGGCUGUUCACUAUUUCGAUUAGAGGAGCGUGUAGUUUAAUUCGAUGGUCCGCGUGUUACCUUACCCCAACUUGAAUCUGUGACCGGUAUUGCAUGGCCGUCGUAAGUUCGUGUAUUAAGCUAGAAGGGACCCAACCCGGGCAUUUGCCCGGAGGAAGUCAGGUCUUAUGAUCCGAAUGUUGGGGGAUUUUAUGCGCUACAUUUUCUUAUAUAAUGGGAAACCUGAAAGGUGAGCCUCUAAAGUAAGAGUUCGGAAGGUCGCUGUAAGACGACUGGAAGUUGGAUUUAAUAGUAAUCGGAAAGUAGGGCGUUCCGGUGAAUUGGUACAAGUGUUAGCACAAAUUGCCCGUCACCUUUACCUAGAAUGGUUAUUCGGACGUCUUCGGUGAUUACGAAUGCCUACGAGGUAAAGCAAGUCGUAACAUAU